This 1084-nucleotide long non-coding RNA is filed under the name Carica papaya (papaya). RNAcentral's name for it is "long non-coding RNA (CPAP_LNC007787)". The record is from RNAcentral. Lineage: Eukaryota; Viridiplantae; Streptophyta; Magnoliopsida; Brassicales; Caricaceae.
AUAAAGAAAGUUCGGCCACGUAGGACCGCUCAGUCAGCAGACUCGACGAACCAGAGCACUCCGCGUGGCAAAACGCACUAAUGUCGGUGCCAUGUAAGAGGCCACGAAGGCGAUCCACGUGACUCGCGAUCGAACGAUUCAGGAUUGAUCCCGUGCACGUGGACGGCCUAGAUCCGUUUCCUCCUUAGACGUGAUCGGACGGUUGAGAUUAAUUGCGAUGAACGGUCUAGAUUCAUUUCUUCAUUAGGCGCCAUCGAACGGAUGAGACUGAUCGCAAUGGACAGUCCAAAUCAACGCGAGAUGGUUAUAAAUACUUUGCAUCACACGGGAACCUAAACCCUAGCAGCCAACCCCUGCCGGAGAAAAAGAACUAGACGCUGGAGAAGGAGACCGAUGAUCGAUCGUCGCCGCACCAAAGCUACUACCGAUUGCAAAAAAAAAGUUAAAAUUCUACCUACCCGCUCGAAAUUCAAUUCCAAGUAUCCCUGUGACCAAAUCAGAUUAAGAGGAAAGACAAGUGAGCCGAAAACUACGGGUAAAGCUCAAUGGAGUCGCCGCGGCUAAAAUUUCAAAACUCCUCCGAUGAUUCCCUUCCCAAUUCUUAUUUUACAUGAUUUUUCGAUCAUUGUGUUCACCAUCCUUUUCUAUGAAGGAUAGCCAAAGAAAGAACCUUAGUCUCGAAGGAGGACUAGCAGAGCUGCCACACCCGGAGGUACCCCUACCGGUAAGUUCGAUUUUUUUUGUGAUUUCCCGACCAAUCGAGACCCCUAAUGUGUUUUACUACAGGAAAAAUGGCUAAAAUUGGAGAAAAUUGGUGAAAACCAGCCAGACUGAGGUGAACCGCCACCGUGGGUGGCUAAGCUGGCGCCGGAGCAUGGCGGUGCUACCGUGUCGGAAUUCCAAAAUUGACCGAAAUUAGUUUUGGACAUUAAUUUUAAAUUUUUGGGGUAUUUUUAUAUAUGUGACGAAUGUUUUAAAUUCUACAAAAAAAUUCAGGAAACCCGGUACCCGUUAAGAGGCAUAGUAGACAGCUCGAUAUCUUGAAAUACCGAUCUUGGUAAGGAUCUUUCACCUUAUUCUCCAC